Transfer RNA from Toxocara canis (dog roundworm), 72 nucleotides. It matches the Rfam family "tRNA". From Rfam's summary of the family: Transfer RNA (tRNA) molecules are approximately 80 nucleotides in length. Their secondary structure includes four short double-helical elements and three loops (D, anti-codon, and T loops). Further hydrogen bonds mediate the characteristic L-shaped molecular structure. tRNAs have two regions of fundamental functional importance: the anti-codon, which is responsible for specific mRNA codon recognition, and the 3' end, to which the tRNAs corresponding amino acid is attached (by aminoacyl-tRNA synthetases). tRNAs cope with the degeneracy of the genetic code in two manners: having more than one tRNA (with a specific anti-codon) for a particular amino acid; and 'wobble' base-pairing, i.e. permitting non-standard base-pairing at the 3rd anti-codon position. The record is from Rfam. NCBI's taxonomy places the organism in Eukaryota, Metazoa, Nematoda, Chromadorea, Rhabditida, Toxocaridae.
GCCGCGGUAGCUCAGUGUUAGAGCCCCCACUUCGCAUGCGGGGGGACCUGGGUCCGAUUCCCGGCUGCUUCC